AGAGUUUGAUCCUGGCUCAGAUUGAACGCUGGCGGCAUGCUUUACACAUGCAAGUCGGACGGCAGCACAGGGAAGCUUGCUUCUCGGGUGGCGAGUGGCGAACGGGUGAGUAACAUAUCGGAACGUACCGGGUAGCGGGGGAUAACUGAUCGAAAGAUCAGCUAAUACCGCAUACGUCUUGAGAGGGAAAGCAGGGGACCUUCGGGCCUUGCGCUAUCCGAGCGGCCGAUAUCUGAUUAGCUGGUUGGCGGGGUAAAGGCCCACCAAGGCGACGAUCAGUAGCGGGUCUGAGAGGAUGAUCCGCCACACUGGGACUGAGACACGGCCCAGACUCCUACGGGAGGCAGCAGUGGGGAAUUUUGGACAAUGGGCGCAAGCCUGAUCCAGCCAUGCCGCGUGUCUGAAGAAGGCCUUCGGGUUGUAAAGGACUUUUGUCAGGGAAGAAAAGGCCGUUGCCAAUAUCGGCGGCCGAUGACGGUACCUGAAGAAUAAGCACCGGCUAACUACGUGCCAGCAGCCGCGGUAAUACGUAGGGUGCGAGCGUUAAUCGGAAUUACUGGGCGUAAAGCGGGCGCAGACGGUUACUUAAGCAGGAUGUGAAAUCCCCGGGCUCAACCCGGGAACUGCGUUCUGAACUGGGUGACUCGAGUGUGUCAGAGGGAGGUGGAAUUCCACGUGUAGCAGUGAAAUGCGUAGAGAUGUGGAGGAAUACCGAUGGCGAAGGCAGCCUCCUGGGAUAACACUGACGUUCAUGUCCGAAAGCGUGGGUAGCAAACAGGAUUAGAUACCCUGGUAGUCCACGCCCUAAACGAUGUCAAUUAGCUGUUGGGCAACUUGAUUGCUUGGUAGCGUAGCUAACGCGUGAAAUUGACCGCCUGGGGAGUACGGUCGCAAGAUUAAAACUCAAAGGAAUUGACGGGGACCCGCACAAGCGGUGGAUGAUGUGGAUUAAUUCGAUGCAACGCGAAGAACCUUACCUGGUUUUGACAUGUGCGGAAUCCUCCGGAGACGGAGGAGUGCCUUCGGGAGCCGUAACACAGGUGCUGCAUGGCUGUCGUCAGCUCGUGUCGUGAGAUGUUGGGUUAAGUCCCGCAACGAGCGCAACCCUUGUCAUUAGUUGCCAUCAUUCGGUUGGGCACUCUAAUGAGACUGCCGGUGACAAGCCGGAGGAAGGUGGGGAUGAUGUCAAGUCCUCAUGGCCCUUAUGACCAGGGCUUCACACGUCAUACAAUGGUCGGUACAGAGGGUAGCCAAGCCGCGAGGCGGAGCCAAUCUCACAAAACCGAUCGUAGUCCGGAUUGCACUCUGCAACUCGAGUGCAUGAAGUCGGAAUCGCUAGUAAUCGCAGGUCAGCAUACUGCGGUGAAUACGUUCCCGGGUCUUGUACACACCGCCCGUCACACCAUGGGAGUGGGGGAUACCAGAAGUAGGUAGGGUAACCGCAAGGAGUCCGCUUACCACGGUAUGCUUCAUGACUGGGGUGAAGUCGUAACAAGGUAGCCGUAGGGGAACCUGCGGCUG
This 1521-nucleotide ribosomal RNA is filed under the name Neisseria gonorrhoeae. RNAcentral describes it as "bacterial SSU rRNA". It matches the Rfam family "Bacterial small subunit ribosomal RNA". The record is from RNAcentral. Lineage: Bacteria; Pseudomonadati; Pseudomonadota; Betaproteobacteria; Neisseriales; Neisseriaceae.